CAACAGUUAAAUCACCUGCUAAGGUAUUAAACUGCGAUGAACCGAUGCAGACUGUUGGCUACCCCUGGUCUUUGGUAAAAGUCUUCUCCGCCUCCUUCAGAUGGAGACCCCUUGGCUUAGCAAGUUAGCAGUAGCACAAAAAUGGCAGCAGAGGAGUGGAUGCGUGAUGAGCAGCACCCUCCUUCUCCGUCACUGUUUCAGCACCGCGGACAGCAUGACGUCUGCCAAGGUGGCUGGCCACUGUGGCUGACGGGGCCGAGUCCUUGAGGAGAUCAUGUGUCUGUGGAAAGUACAGGACAAGCACUGAUGUUUGAGCUUUCAAACCAGUGUCCCUAGUUGUCACCUCCUUUUCCCAUCUGCCUCUGUUGUGCGCGUUUCAUUUACAACGUCUCUAUGACGGAGGUCCAUCGCUUGCCACGCACAGCACAUUUUACAUUGUUGGAGUGCUUUGAAGUAUCAUGUACAGUGUAGGGGAUGAUAUACUGUUACUAACACGUUGAGAGUGUGGUUCUUCCUUCCCUUUCUGAUCACCAGUCUUUAUAUUUUCCACCUUUAUGUUUUGCUUCACCCAGUACUGCACAUCAUUUGUAAUACAAAGCAGGGAUGGAGAAUAUUAUAGAUAAAAUCCUCCCAAAUAUUCUACAGUGGUGAAAACUUACAGAAAUAUGCCUCCCAUUUUGGCAGACAUGGCUUACUCUUUCUGUCUUUUUCAUGCCCAUUUUGGAUGUCGUCCAGAUGAAUCAUACUAACGACCUGGGCUCCGUGCUGCAGCACUGCUCUGAAAUUAAUAUCUAAGGAAUGGAGAUAUAGGGCAAAUAGAUGAGAAUAGGAACCCGAUAUUCACUCUUGGGUACUACGUGCUCUGGCAUAGACACACUCACACACACACACACAUGCACUCACAUAUACUGCACACAGAGCCUGACAGGCAGGCUAUUAUCCCCCAGCCAGGGCUGCCGUAAUUGGCUAUCGCUUUUUACAAAUGUGGCUCAGUCUGACUCGCAUAUCAGCUCCCGUCUCAUCAACCGUGUAGGGGUCACCAUGUCCGUGCUUGUAUGCGUGUGGUUGUGUAUGUGUCUGUAUAUGUAUAUAUGUAGGGGUCACUGGUGUGCCCAUCCCUCUCAUGUCUCCAUUUCACAUGCUCAUUUAUGUCUGUGCUAAACGAGCCAAUGGAUGCUAAGUGUGUCAGUGGCAAAGUCCUCUUUAGCAGUGCCGGAGUAUUUAGCCAUUAGUCUGCUAAUAGCAUCAAGAUCAUUCCAACACUGGCUAGCUGAUGAUGAAAUAUUAGCUUAGUUCAGGCUGUCAUUAGUUAGUCUGGGCUUGCCUUAGAGGUCAGGUCCAUCUUAUUUCUCACAUCAAACUCAGUUAUUAACUGAGUGUGCAGAUUAAUUUCUUAUUUUUGUCAGUUUGUAAAAAAAAAUAAAAAAAAAAUUUGCUGGUUUUAAUACAAUUUUAAAAUAAUAUUUUUUCCAUCUUAUUUUAUGCAGGUGUGCUUAUCAUUACCAGAUUGUUUUUAGACUUGCAAACAUGGAAUGCACCAUAGAAUAUGUAUCCUAAAUUACACUUCUCUUUAAUUACCAAAUAUAUGACAUGUCAGACACUGAUAAUUACAUGUAACUGUAAAGAAUGUAAAGAAAAACACAAGAAGAAAAACCCUGCAUUCUCUGUGGUGUGAGAAUUUACUUUGUUUUUACACACCAGAUGAUUUCAAAUGUUUUGUAAACUUAAUGUAUUUUUAAAUUACUUUUCUAUUCUGAAUCCUACUGUAAAAGUAUGGCUUCUAAAUUCUAUCUUGAUUCAAGAUAUUUGCAUAUUUUGUGUAAAUGUGUAAAAUUUUGCCUCAUUUAAAACAUCACUUAGACAUUUAAGCUGUCAGAAUACAGUUAAAUGGUGUGCAGUCAAUGGUAUAAUGAAGGCAAAUGUGUAAAAAAUAUAAAUGCUAAUCAUUUGUAUGGAUUACAUUUCCUUAAUUAACCGACUUCAACAUUUAAAAAACCCAUUGUUUAAUUCUCUUAUAAUAUUAGAAAACCAAAAGCUGAGGGGAAUAAAAGCACUCCAAUGUUCACUGCA
Molecule: long non-coding RNA, 2070 nt
Organism: Scatophagus argus
Lineage: Eukaryota; Metazoa; Chordata; Actinopteri; Scatophagidae
Exons: 3
Source: RefSeq, a predicted model, not a curated record